This 824-nucleotide ribosomal RNA is filed under the name uncultured bacterium. Its description in RNAcentral is "bacterial SSU rRNA". It matches the Rfam family "Bacterial small subunit ribosomal RNA", at positions 77 to 904 of the family's 1533-position model. The record is from RNAcentral.
CAAACUGGAGAUGGCGACCGGCGCACGGGUGAGUAACACGUAUCCAACCUGCCGAUAACUCGGGGAUAGCCUUUCGAAAGAAAGAUUAAUACCCGAUGGUAUAAUCAGACCGCAUGGUCUUGUUAUUAAAGAAUUUCGGUUAUCGAUGGGGAUGCGUUCCAUUAGGCAGUUGGUGAGGUAACGGCUCACCAAACCUUCGAUGGAUAGGGGUUCUGAGAGGAAGGUCCCCCACAUUGGAACUGAGACACGGUCCAAACUCCUACGGGAGGCAGCAGUGAGGAAUAUUGGUCAAUGGGCGCAGGCCUGAACCAGCCAAGUAGCGUGAAGGAUGACUGCCCUAUGGGUUGUAAACUUCUUUUAUAUGGGAAUAAAGUUUUCCACGUGUGGAAUUUUGUAUGUACCAUAUGAAUAAGGAUCGGCUAACUCCGUGCCAGCAGCCGCGGUAAUACGGAGGAUCCGAGCGUUAUCCGGAUUUAUUGGGUUUAAAGGGAGCGUAGGUGGACAGUUAAGUCAGUUGUGAAAGUUUGCGGCUCAACCGUAAAAUUGCAGUUGAUACUGGCUGUCUUGAGUACAGUAGAGGUGGGCGGAAUUCGUGGUGUAGCGGUGAAAUGCUUAGAUAUCACGAAGAACUCCGAUUGCGAAGGCAGCUCACUGGACUGCAACUGACACUGAUGCUCGAAAGUGUGGGUAUCAAACAGGAUUAGAUACCCUGGUAGUCCACACAGUAAACGAUGAAUACUCGCUGUUUGCGAUAUACAGUAAGCGGCCAAGCGAAAGCAUUAAGUAUUCCACCUGGGGAGUACGCCGGCAACGGUGAAACUCAA